This 404-nucleotide ribosomal RNA is filed under the name Fusobacteriota bacterium. RNAcentral describes it as "Fusobacteria bacterium partial 16S ribosomal RNA". It matches the Rfam family "Bacterial small subunit ribosomal RNA", at positions 355 to 776 of the family's 1533-position model. The record is from RNAcentral. Lineage: Bacteria; Fusobacteriati; Fusobacteriota.
UGGGGAAUAUUGCACAAUGGAGGGAACUCUGAUGCAGCGACGCCGCGUGAGUGAUGAAGGAAUUCGUUUCGUAAAACUCUGUUCUAUGGGAAGAAAAGGACUGUACCAUAGGAGAAAGCUCCGGCUAAAUACGUGCCAGCAGCCGCGGUAAUACGUAUGGAGCGAGCGUUGUCCGGAAUUAUUGGGCGUAAAGGGUGCGCAGGCGGCUUUACAAGUUGGAUGUGAAAUAUUGUGGCUCAACCACAAACGUGCAUCCAAAACUGCAAAGCUUGAGUUAAGGAGAGGUAAGCGGAAUUCCUGGUGUAGCGGUGGAAUGCGUAGAUAUCAGGAGGAAUACCGGUGGCGAAGGCGACUUACUGGACUUAAACUGACGCUCAGGCACGAAAGCGUGGGGAGCAAACAGG